Molecule: ribosomal RNA, 440 nt
Filed under: uncultured bacterium
Lineage: Bacteria
Description: partial 16S ribosomal RNA
Rfam family: Bacterial small subunit ribosomal RNA
Source: RNAcentral
CCUACGGGCGGCAGCAGUGGGGAAUAUUGGACAAUGGGCGAAACCCUGAUGCAGCGACGCCGCGUGAAUGAAGAAGGAUUUCGGGAUGUAAAGCUCUAUCCGCAGGGAAGAAAAUGGCGGUACCUACUUAAGAAUCCCCGGCUAACUACUUUCCAGCAGCCGCGGUAAUAAGUAGGGGGCAAGCGUUAUCCGGAUUUUCUGGGGGUAAAGGGAGCGUAGACGGCAGCACAAGUCAGGAGUGAAAUGCCGGGGCUGAACCGCAGAAAUGCUUUGGAAACUGUGCAGCUAGAGUGCAGGAGAGGUAAGCGGAAUUCCUAGUGUAGCGGUGAAAUGCGUAGAUAUUAGGAGGAACACCAGUGGCGAAGGCGGAUUACUGGACUGUAACUGACGUUGAGGCUCGAAAGCGUGGGGAGCAAACAGGAUUAGAUACCCUAGUAGUC